Non-coding RNA from Lonchura striata (white-rumped munia), 1155 nucleotides. NCBI's taxonomy places the organism in Eukaryota, Metazoa, Chordata, Aves, Passeriformes, Estrildidae. The record is from RefSeq and is a predicted model, not a curated record.
ACCAAUUCGGACAUUCUGGCAGAUGUGGAAGGGUCUGAGACGUGUUCAGCAUCCUCUGACAGCAGCUCCGUGGCUCCGGCCGGGAACAGGAGGAGGCUGCGGCGGCCGCACGUCCCCGAGAGCAGCGGGGCGACGCCGCGGGGCAAGAGGAAGAGGAGCUAGUGCUGCCAGCGUGCCCGGCUCAGCCUGGGCAGCCCCCCGGCCCUCCCAUCCUCUGCGUGUCUGGCUGCUGAGUACAGCUCUGUUCUCACAUCCUGCCAUCCCAGCUGCCUUCCUGACCAGGCUGGCGGCUUCGCCCGCAGCCCCGUGGGCCGCCGGUGGCCGAGGGUGGGCACAGAGUGGCAGAGCCCCGCGGGACUGACCUGGCUGCCGUGCCCAGCUCCCUCGCUCUGCAGCACCUGGCUGCGUGCUGCCACUGUCCUGCUUGUGUCCUGUGCCAGCCUCACCUGCCCCUGGGAGCGGCUGCAGGACGCUGUUUGUUUGGGCGUGGGCAGGUACUGGUGCCCCAGUUCUGGCACUGCCAGGGGAGGGAGGGACCAAGGAGUGCAGGGAGAUUCUGCCCUGCACUGGCAGGCUUUGUUAUAUGUCUGUGUAAACUUACUCAGUAUUGUGUGUCAUUAUUUCAGUUUGGAGUCCUGAAACUGGGAAGGGAAGGCUGUUGGACAUGCAGCAUUUUAGCUUUCAAGCACACAGUUACAUUGAAAAGUCUGAUCUUCCUUACGAGGUGGUGGGAUUUUGUGAUGCAACGAAGCACUGCAAAAAAAAAGAAGGAAAUGCAAGAAACCUGAACACCAGGGAAGGCUUUGAAAAAUAAAGCUUGUAAGAAAAUAUGAAAAUACUUCAGGUGCUUUUGCUGAGCCCUGAAGUUUCGGUCAGAGCCUGUCAAUGGGAGCUUGGAAAAGAAGACACAAAGUGUGGGUAAGAUUGAGGGUUAUGGUGUCUUGACUUCAGAGUGAAGCUGGGAUUCAGAAAUAAUCCUCCUCCAGCCGUAGUUCCCAGAAAUAUUUGUGUUUGGAACAGGCUAAAUCAUGGCAGAUAUGAACUAUCCUAAGUUCAUGAUGUGGAGAGAUGCAGAGGCAAAGGAGAAAUCUGGCUGUGUUGAUUUGGUUAAUUUGGUUAUUUUUUUACUAAACCAAACCUUUUGAAAAACAGUAA